UUAGGGGGGCGGAUCAUCGCUCCGGCGCUUGCGUCGGAGAGGAAAGUCCGGGCUCCCGGGCCAGGUUGCCCUGCGAAAGCGGGGGCGCGUCGUUGGCGCAAGCGCGACGCGACGGAAAGUGCCACAGAAAACAGACAGCCUCGCUCCUUCGGGGGCGGGGUGAUGGUGAAAAGGCGGGGUAAGAGCCCACCGGCCGACGGGCGACCGUCGGCGCACGGAAAACCCCAACCGGAGCGAGACCAAAUAGGGGGCGAUUCGAGCGCGGCCCGGCUCGUCACUAGCCCCGGGUAAGGUCGCGGUUCCGCGCGAGCGGGACUCUCGGACGGCGGCGAAAACCGCGGUGCGAGAAGAGAAAUGAUGAUCGCGGCUCGGGCGACCGAGCCGAACAGAACCCGGCUUACAGCCUCCCCAUUUUA
Molecule: RNase P RNA, 416 nt
Filed under: Verrucomicrobiia bacterium
Lineage: Bacteria; Pseudomonadati; Verrucomicrobiota; Verrucomicrobiia
Description: RNase P RNA component class A
Rfam family: Bacterial RNase P class A
About the family: Ribonuclease P (RNase P) is a ubiquitous endoribonuclease, found in archaea, bacteria and eukarya as well as chloroplasts and mitochondria. Its best characterised activity is the generation of mature 5'-ends of tRNAs by cleaving the 5'-leader elements of precursor-tRNAs. Cellular RNase Ps are ribonucleoproteins.
Source: RNAcentral